Molecule: long non-coding RNA, 213 nt
Filed under: Vigna radiata
Lineage: Eukaryota; Viridiplantae; Streptophyta; Magnoliopsida; Fabales; Fabaceae
Description: long non-coding RNA (VRAD_LNC018059)
Source: RNAcentral
AAAUUCUUGGAGGAACAGUCUGAUCGUAAUUUUCAGAAAUUUACAUCAUUCUGCUAUUGCUUGGGGAAUGGGAAAUUGUUGUCUCACGAAAUAAUUGGUCCUGAUACUUGGGACAUCGAAAUCCUUGUCAAAAUCAAAGCACUCGUUGGAGCACGGUUCAGCAAACCCACACACACGUCAUACAUGUCACUUUUGAGCAUUGACUAAGUCAAC